This 110-nucleotide small RNA is filed under the name Acinetobacter nectaris. RNAcentral describes it as "Manganese sequence". It matches the Rfam family "Manganese Mn2+ riboswitch aptamer (yybP-ykoY)". From Rfam's summary of the family: This RNA was originally discovered in E. coli during a large scale screen and was named SraF. The family was later found to exist upstream of related families of protein genes in many bacteria, including the the yybP and ykoK genes in B. subtilis. The specific functions of these proteins are unknown, but this structured RNA element may be involved in their genetic regulation as a riboswitch. The record is from RNAcentral. Lineage: Bacteria; Pseudomonadati; Pseudomonadota; Gammaproteobacteria; Moraxellales; Moraxellaceae.
GACUACUUCAUUGGGGAGUAGCCGCUGUUUACAUUAGGUAAACGGGUGAUGGUCAACAUAAUUGUUUUAUCAAACAUGGCCAUCAUAGCAAAGACCAAGAGUCCUUUGUU